Mya arenaria is the source of this 1561-nucleotide long non-coding RNA. RefSeq lists it as uncharacterized. The transcript has 4 exons. The record is from RefSeq and is a predicted model, not a curated record. NCBI's taxonomy places the organism in Eukaryota, Metazoa, Mollusca, Bivalvia, Myida, Myidae.
GUUGACUGCUCCGGACAAACGCGUACGUAUUUAUCGGACAGGCGGUAAAACCACAUCGAGUCUCUUUUGGUUCCCCACAGGCCCAAAUGAAAGACAAAAACAUGUGUCAACAGCUGCAGGCGUGCAAACAGGGAGAUAAGAUAAAACGAUAGAAUAUGCAGCUGUCUCUUCUUUGAUGGGGACAAAGAACAUGGGCCAACCAGUUUUGUUUAUAGCAAAAAACAUUGACAGUUUACCAGAGAUACCCGCACCAAAAAGAUGCAAAAAGACAAAGGUAGAGGAUACUAUGACUUCAGAGUUAACCAAUGAUGAUGGAGCUGUUUAUGAUGAAGGAAGCUAAUCUUCUCAUGAUCACAGAUACGACCUGCAAACCCCAGAAUGUGAUCGUGUUUCUGUUAGAGAUAAUGCAGUACACAAUAAAGUUAAAGAAUAUGAGAGGCAGAUUGCAGCUCUAGAAAGUGAAAACCAGACUCUCAAGACAGGACAGUAUUCAUUACACAGACAGGAUGGGAUUGGUUGAUGGUCAUCAAACUUGAUUAGUGAGUUUUCUUCGGGUUCUCCAGUUUCCCUCACAAAACAAGAACAUGUCGAGCAACAUUGUGCCAAAAUAUGACUUAGUAUCAGUAAAUAUAACUUGAUUUCACAAUUUUUGUAAGCAUUUAAACUAAAGGGGAGUUUUUAAAUACCAGUAUUGUACUUUACCCUUUCGUAGAGCAUCAAAAUACAGAUGAUUCCAGAUAAAACGUUUUGAGGUCCUGGCACUAGUGGGAAUUACUUAUGAGACCAUUUGUGUAAGUACAGCAUGAUUACAAAUAACACACUUCCGUCGUUACAACCCAUACGUUCACAAUACAUUGAUUUGACGUAAUAUCUGUUAAAAUGCUAUAACCUUUCUUAUUUCAAUAUUUUUUCAACCUGAAAGUAACUUUAUAUAUUUCCUGAAACUUUCAUGGAUAUCUUAUGUUUUAUUACAGUCAGAUGCUGUUGUACACAUAAAUGACAGCAGAUGUAUUACAAGUACUUGCCAACAUGCUUCAGAUGUGUCACUCUUCUGGUUGGACAGUUAGCUGCUUAAGCAUUGAUGCUUAACUAAUUAAUUACAGUGUUUACAAUGACAAACAUUUCUAUCAAGUAAAGGACAUUUUACAAAACAGGAGGCAGAACUUUGUUUCAAGAUAGAAAGAAGUAGACUUCAUGCUGAGAGAGCAAAUGAAAGAACUAAAAACAAUGAUUUUUAAAGCACAUACCAGCCCCGUACAGACAUUUGUCUUCUCAAUCUUCAGGCAGCAUUGUAAAAGGAAAUUGCAGAUCAAUAUCAUUUUUUUUAAAAUUAAAACAAAAGUCUUUAGCCAGGAGAUAUAAUAUUCUAGAAAUGAACAAUGUUUAUUGCUUACAGUUAUACUGUACAACUUUUGUUGUCAUGUGAUUAUAUGUGAAAACAUGUAACUAUACUUUAAUAAGCUUUCCUUUACACAAAAAGCAACCAUCUGUCCAGGUUUCUUUUAUUAUUUUAUUUAUUUCAUAAAUACAUUUAGACCAGUGUAUUUGUUUGCAUUUACAA